Molecule: transfer RNA, 74 nt
Filed under: Serpula lacrymans var. lacrymans S7.9
Lineage: Eukaryota; Fungi; Basidiomycota; Agaricomycetes; Boletales; Serpulaceae
Also listed under: 1 other name
Description: tRNA-Cys (ACA) (tRNA-Cys-ACA-4-1)
Rfam family: tRNA
About the family: Transfer RNA (tRNA) molecules are approximately 80 nucleotides in length. Their secondary structure includes four short double-helical elements and three loops (D, anti-codon, and T loops).
Source: RNAcentral
GGACUAGUGGCUCAGUUAGUUAGAGCACUGCCAUACAUAGGCAGAGGUCCUGGGUUUAAUCCCUGGCUGGUCUA